Chrysemys picta bellii (western painted turtle) is the source of this 654-nucleotide non-coding RNA. The record is from RefSeq and is a predicted model, not a curated record. Lineage: Eukaryota; Metazoa; Chordata; Testudines; Emydidae.
GGCAGGGGACUUGGGACUGACCUGCCCCCUGCCAGCCCCAGUGCACAGGCUGCUCCUCCCCGUGUAACUGGGCCCAGGUGCAGACCCAGUGAGCCGUUGGGUUCGGGGGAGGGGACCCCACACACAGGAGACAUGGCAGGUUCUCCUCCCCCUUGCUGGUAGGUCAGUAGCCGUGUGGAGAGGGGGUGGGGCACUCCGGCUCCUUGCAGGCCCCAGGGACACCCAUCCCCUUCCUCUCAGGGGGUGGGACAAAAAGUGAAUUUUCUGUAAUAGUUUUGAUGCCCGUGUGCAUCAGUUUCCCACUGUACUAGUCAUGUCUGCCCAGUGGGUGCCAAAGAGAUAAAAAGCCUCUCCUGGGGCAGAGCAGGGCCAGGAGGGGGAGUGUCACAUGGCUGGGGGCAGGAACUGGGCGUUCAGGAUGAAAACCAGCCCAGAGCAACGGAGGCUCCACAAAGAAGAGGAGUCGGCGUUCGGUGGGACUCAGGAGCUCCCGGCUAGGACUGAAAGAGAUGGAGACGGGAUCCAUGUUUGGCUCUUCAGCAGUUUGGCUGGGUGGAGCCCUGGCCUGGUUCUUCACCUUCACUUCUCUCUGCUGCCCAGGGACCUCCCAGGCCGGGUUCCAGGGGACCAAUAAACCGUGUGCUGUGUGGAAAA